This 1171-nucleotide long non-coding RNA is filed under the name Callithrix jacchus (white-tufted-ear marmoset). Its description in RNAcentral is "lncRNA (ENSCJAG00000072466.1)". Lineage: Eukaryota; Metazoa; Chordata; Mammalia; Primates; Cebidae. The record is from RNAcentral.
CAUUUUCACGAUGUUGAUUCUUCCAAACCGUGUACAUGGAAUGUUUCUCCAUCUGUUUGUGUUCUCUCUUAUUUCAUUGAGCCGUGGUUUGUAGUUCUUUUUGAAGAGGUCCUUUACGUUCCCUGUCAGCUUUAUUCUUAGGUAUUUUAUUUUCUUUGUAGCAAUAGUAAAUGGCAGUUUGUUCUUUUUUUUUUUUUGAGAUGGAGUUUCGCUCUUGUUACCCUGGCUGGAGGGCAAUGGCUCGAUCUUGGCUCACUGCAACCUCCACCACCAGGGUCGAGGCAAUUCUCCUGCCUCAGCCUCCCUAGUAGCUGGGAUUAAAGGCACGUGUCACUGUGCCCAGCUAACUUUUUUUUGUAUUUUUUAUAGAGACGAGGUUUCACCAUGUUGACCAGGAUGGUCUAUGAUCUCUUGACCUCAUGAUCUACCUGCUUCGGCCUCCCAACAUGCUGGGAUUACAGGCGUGAGCCACCGUGCCCGGCCGGCAGUUUGUUCUUCAUUUGGCUCUCUUCAAGUCUGUUAUUGGUGUAUAGGAAUGCUUGUGAUCUUUUCACAUGUAUUUUGUAUCCUGAGACUUUGCUAAAGUUGCUUAUUAGUUUCAGGAGUUUUUGGGCUGAGGCGAUGAGGUCUUCUAGGUAUACUAUCAUGUCAUCUGCGAAUGGAGACAAUUUGGCCUCCACCUUUCCUAUUUGAAUACCCUUUAUUUCUUUUUCUUGCCUGACUGCUCUAGCUAGAACUUCCAUUACUAUAUUGAAUAGGAGUGGUGAGAGAGGGCAUCCUUGUCUAGUGCCGGAUUUCAAAGGGAAUGUUUCCAGUUUUUGCUCAUUCAGUAUGAUAUUGGCUGUUGGUUUGUCAUAAAUAGCUUUUAUUAUUUUGAGAUAGGUUUCAUCAAUACCAAGUUUAUUAAGGAUUUUUAACAUAAAGGCCUCUUGAAUUCUGUCAAAGUCUUCUCUGCAUCAAUUGGGAUAAUCAUGUGGUGUUUGUUUUGGGUUCUGUUUAUUUUUCCAGAUUGGAUUCAUCUCUUCAUCAUUUUCAGGUACACCUAUCAAAGGUUGAUUAGGACUCUUCACAUAGUCCCACAUUUCUUGGAAACUUUGUUCAUUUUUUGUGUGUGUGUGCUUUUUUCUCUAAUCUUGCCUUCUCAUUUUAUUUCAUUGAGUUGAUCUUUAAC